This 252-nucleotide ribosomal RNA is filed under the name Dermacentor nuttalli. RNAcentral describes it as "partial 16S ribosomal RNA". The stretch from base 107 to 252 matches the Rfam family "Bacterial large subunit ribosomal RNA", at positions 2473 to 2619 of the family's 2925-position model. The record is from RNAcentral. Lineage: Eukaryota; Metazoa; Arthropoda; Arachnida; Ixodida; Ixodidae.
UAUAUAUAAAUAAAAUUCUUAGUUGGGGCAACUAAAAAAUAUAUUAAACUUUUUUUUUUAAAAAAAUGACCCAUUAUUAAUGAUAAUAUGAAAAAAAUACUCUAGGGAUAACAGCGUAAUAAUUUUUGAUAGAUCUUAUAGACAAAAUAGUUUGCGACCUCGAUGUUGGAUUAGGAUACUUUUUUAAUGAAGAUGUUAAAAAAAGAAGUUUGUUCAACUUUUAAAUUCCUACUUGAUCUGAGUUCAGACCAA